GGUCUCGUGGUGCAAUGGUAGCAUAUCACACUUCUAAACCAUGCGCGUUUUGUUGAUGUGAGGGUUGUGGGUUCGAGUCCCGCCGGGACCU
RNAcentral lists this transfer RNA (91 nucleotides) under Serendipita indica DSM 11827. Its description in RNAcentral is "Piriformospora indica DSM 11827 tRNA". It matches the Rfam family "tRNA". From Rfam's summary of the family: Transfer RNA (tRNA) molecules are approximately 80 nucleotides in length. Their secondary structure includes four short double-helical elements and three loops (D, anti-codon, and T loops). Further hydrogen bonds mediate the characteristic L-shaped molecular structure. tRNAs have two regions of fundamental functional importance: the anti-codon, which is responsible for specific mRNA codon recognition, and the 3' end, to which the tRNAs corresponding amino acid is attached (by aminoacyl-tRNA synthetases). tRNAs cope with the degeneracy of the genetic code in two manners: having more than one tRNA (with a specific anti-codon) for a particular amino acid; and 'wobble' base-pairing, i.e. permitting non-standard base-pairing at the 3rd anti-codon position. The record is from Rfam by way of RNAcentral. Lineage: Eukaryota; Fungi; Basidiomycota; Agaricomycetes; Sebacinales; Serendipitaceae.